AAUCCUGCAAUUAAUUCCUUAAUGAUCAACAAUAGCAAAAAGAGAGAGAGAGAGAGAGACAUCCUUGCCGUGUGCGUGGUCAGUCAGAAUACAAUAACCUUUUCCUGACUGGCUUGUAAUGUCUUGCUAUCUUAUUUCCAUCCAUAGUUGAUCACUAUGCAACUCAGGGUAAGCGUAGAGAAUCACCAACGCCAGGAUUUAGUGGCUGUUCCCAUGCGCCAACCUUUGCAAAUCAGAAUUAUCCAGCCUUUCCCUGACCACUCAGCUCUGUACGUUCAGAGACCUGGUCUUAGGUUGCGGGGACAUUGAGAGUUCAAUUGUAUAUUCGUGCCACAUUCUCAAUAACUUGUCUUUGUGCUCCCUAUCCACAGCUACCUAUGGACCCGUAGAUACCUACGGACCUGUAGUUGACCCGUACGGAUUCAAAGAUGACUAUGGGCCAGUAGUGGCUCCCUAUGGACAUGCAGAUGACUACGGGGCCGUCG
Rhincodon typus (whale shark) is the source of this 485-nucleotide long non-coding RNA. RefSeq lists it as uncharacterized. The record is from RefSeq and is a predicted model, not a curated record. NCBI's taxonomy places the organism in Eukaryota, Metazoa, Chordata, Chondrichthyes, Orectolobiformes, Rhincodontidae. The transcript has 6 exons.